GUCGAUGAUGCAUUGAUGCGACACGGUUUUCUGUUGCGUCGACGUUUUGUCACGCGACAACUAGCGAUGCCGGACGAAAAUCACAAAACAAACAAAACACAUCAAUUUCGGAAAUUCAUCAGAUUUUCAGAGAUUUCAGUGGAUCUAAACAGUCGGCCAACAUCAAAAUCAAAAUGAAUCUACCGGGGGGAAUAACCGUGAAGCGAUCGCAUUCCCCGUUGAACGGCAUCGACAACCAAGAAAGCCCACCCAAGCGAAAGACGCCAAUCAUUCGCAAACCCGGCGAGGUGGUCACACCCAACCGGAAGCUCGCCGGAGUUGUUAAAGCUUCCCCUUCCACGGUGCAAGUUCCAGCGCUCGUUCAGCCCAAAGUCGAAUGGGCCAGAGUAACGGCGCCCGGUUUAAAAACUCCGCUCACUUCAUUCACGAUCACUUCCGUUGAUGGCGCAGUGCAACAGGAUCCGGAUGGGGAUUCGAUGGAAGCCUAUCAGCAAGAUGACGACGACACACAGGAUCCGGAUGAUACGGAACAAGGCUACGAAUACGACCCGGUAGAAGGUUCGGGAAGCGCUGACAUCUCAUCGCUCGACAGCAAACUGACUCGCAUAGAGCGAUUGUUGGAGAAGGUGGUGGCCAAGCAGGAACAGCACGACUCUGUGCUGAAGACCCUGAAGUUCAACAUCUCGGACCUGCGAGCUGACAUGCGAACCACUGUCAAUUCGGCCAGCGCCAAAAAGACGUCCGAUCCUAGAAUGAGCGAUAUCAGCUUCCGGCCCAUCCCAGUUAAAAGAGACAGGAAGCGGUUGGUGGUGUUUCCCGUGGCUGACGACAACUACCUGCUGCGGUUGGACGACCUGGUCAAGGCAGACGAGGACAUCCGAAAUGAUUUGAUUGCUCUCUUCGGCGAGGCUCCGACGAACAGUGCGUACGAAUUCCUACGCAAAAAUGUCCAAUUGGUUUUCGUGCACACCUCCAAGUACACCUGGACCGGUAAGUUGAUAAAUCAUCUUCCGCACGUGCCGGCGUCCAAUGCGGCGCAAAAAUUAGCCAUCGUUGAUUUGCUGAUUUCCUGUGGAUGUGAAAAGUUUCCCCAUAUGGGACGGGACACCAUUGAGAAGGAAUUCCGACGGGCGUUGGCCAAUUUUAACGAAUCUCGGGUGGUUCGGUUGAAACGGCAAAUGGAAAAACCGGACGGCGACAAUUCAGCAGGGCAAAAGUAGUGAUAAGAUUUUUUGAAUGUUUGAUGAUAAUAUUUAAGAACUUGG
Molecule: RNA transcript, 1265 nt
Organism: Aedes albopictus (Asian tiger mosquito)
Lineage: Eukaryota; Metazoa; Arthropoda; Insecta; Diptera; Culicidae
Exons: 3
Source: RefSeq, a predicted model, not a curated record